AACGCGAAGAACCUUACCUGGGCUCGAAGCACAGUGGACCGGGGUAGAAAUAUCCCUUUUCGCAAGAACUGCUGUGGAGGUGCUGCAUGGCUGUCGUCAGCUCGUGUCGUGAGAUGUUGGGUUAAGUCCCGCAACGAGCGCAACCCUUAUCGUUAGUUGCCAGCGAGUCAAGUCGGGCACUCUAGCGAAACCGCCCCGGAUAACGGGGAGGAAGGUGGGGAUGACGUCAAGUCCUCAUGGCCUUUAUGUCCAGGGCUACACACGUGCUACAAUGGUCGGUACAAACCGUCGCAAACCUGCGAAGGGGAGCUAAUCGGAAAAAGCCGGCCUCAGUUCGGAUUGGAGUCUGCAACUCGACUCCAUGAAGCUGGAAUCGCUAGUAAUCGCGGAUCAGCACGCCGCGGUGAAUACGUUCCCGGGCCUUGUACACACCG
This 434-nucleotide ribosomal RNA is filed under the name uncultured bacterium. Its description in RNAcentral is "bacterial SSU rRNA". It matches the Rfam family "Bacterial small subunit ribosomal RNA", at positions 958 to 1392 of the family's 1533-position model. The record is from RNAcentral.